Molecule: long non-coding RNA, 453 nt
Organism: Siniperca chuatsi (mandarin fish)
Lineage: Eukaryota; Metazoa; Chordata; Actinopteri; Centrarchiformes; Sinipercidae
Exons: 2
Source: RefSeq, a predicted model, not a curated record
AACACCAGCUUGUCCAUGUACAUUUGUAUGACCACUAUGUCAAGGAUUAUUCUGUGCUGGUGAUUGCAGUUUCCUCUGCCUCUGUCUGGAUUCCUGUCAGUCUGCCUGCCUGCUUCUCUGGUUACUCAACCUUGCUUAUCCCCACCAACCUCUCCACAGUGCCAGACCCUUGGGAUCUGUACUCGUGAUCACGCUGACGGUCAGUCUUCAUACCCCACCACCAAACUCCACUUCGUGGUCAACCCUGGUCCGCACUGCACCGCCUGUUCCUUGUCUCACAGACCAGUCUGCCUGACCAGAUCCACGCCGCCCCUAACCCUUCUGUCUCCACUCCUGAUUACUGCUGCCUUCUCCGAGUCUACAAAGACGACUCGGAAGGCUCCGCUCCGAAGAUCUUUCUCCAGUCCCUCUAUACCAUUGCACCUUUUAAUAAAGAGUGACUUACUUCCUCUA